This 2859-nucleotide ribosomal RNA is filed under the name Triticum aestivum (bread wheat). Its description in RNAcentral is "partial small subunit ribosomal RNA". The record is from RNAcentral. Lineage: Eukaryota; Viridiplantae; Streptophyta; Magnoliopsida; Poales; Poaceae.
AUGGCCACUUAUGGACUACUCUCAAAGCAUGAAUCUCCACAACCACACCAGCUGACGACAAGCACCCCCCGAGCCGCUACAAGCACAACCCCCGGCUCAUGGAGCACAACAUCCCGAAGGAGCCCCAAUCGAAAACACAUUGACAAUCAGACACGACAACCGAAAAUGAAGAAAAAAGAAGAGAGGUGUAUUAUCAGUGCACGGUACCGCGCGGCCGAUGACAUUGACUUGCAUUCAGAUGGCACGACAAAACCAGAUGUAGCGGUGCAAGCACCCAAACGUACAUCAACCACUGUUCGCCCCACAACCAAGCAACAAAGCAACUAUACUACUCAAGCCAUAUCAAUGGAUCUGGCAACCGGCGCAAUUGGCGACCUGCUCCCCAAGCUGGUCGAGCUCCUCAAGGGGGAGUACAAGCUGAAGGAGAAUGUCAGGGAAGGCGUCAUGUCUCUUGAGAGAGAGAUGAGGAGCAUGCACGCUGCUCUCCGCAAGGUGGCAGAGGUGCCACGGGACCAGCUUGACGAGAAGGUCAAGCUCUGGGCAGGGGAGGUGAGGGAGCUGUCCUUUGACAUGGAAGACGUCGUUGACAAGUUCCUGGUGCGUGUCGAUGACGGCUCCAAGCCUGCACCCAACUCGAAGAAGCUCAAACAGCUCACGAAGAUGAUGGUCGGCUUGUUCACCAAAGGGAAGGAUCACCAUGAGAUCAUUGACGCGAUCGAGGACAUCAAUAAGCAAGUCCAAGAGGUUGCUAACAUGCACGGAAGGUACCCCACUGACAAUAUUGUCACUACUCCUGCAGCGGUGGCUCCCAUCGAUCCUCGUCUUGGGGCUUUGUACACAGAAGUAACAGAGCUUGUUGGCAUUGCUGGAAAAAGGGAUCAAGAUCUAAUGAAGUUGCUCUCGGAGGGAGACAAUGUGUCCAAGAAAAAGUUGAAGAUUAUCACUGUUGUCGGAUCUGGAGGAUUGGGCAAGACCACUCUUGUCAAAAUGGUUUAUGACAAGAUCAAAGAAGAUUUCGAUUGCAGUGCGUUUGUUCCCGUCGGUCGAAAUGCUGACGCAAAGAAGAUUCUCCUGAACAUUCUUUGUGAUCUUGACACGUACGUAGGUCUGAUCACCAUGUUGGAUGUAAGAGAACUAAUCAACAAACUCAAGGAAACUCUCGAAAACACGAGGUACCUCAUUGUAAUUGAUGAUAUAAGGGAUGAAAAACUAUGGAAAAUAAUCAAAGGGGCAUUCUCUAAUAGCAACAAUUGUGGUAGUCGGUUAAUCAUGACAACUCGUAUAGUCAAUGUAGCUAAAUUAUGUUGCUCAUGUGCUGAUGAUUCAAUCUAUCAAAUGGAGCCACUUAGUGAUGAUGAUUCCAAAAGGCUCUUCUAUAAAAAGAUAUUUUCUCACCAGAGUGGUUGUCCUCUUGAAUUUGAAGAAGUGUCCAUACAUAUAUUGAAGAAAUGUGGUGGAGUACCAUUAGCCAUCAUUACUAUAGCUGGUAUCUUGGUUAUUAAUCAUCACUGUGAAGAUCCACAAACUAGUCUAUUUGAGAUCGGAGAAAAUUACCUCAAUGAGCUUGUGGAUAGGAGCUUGAUCCAGCCGGAAUAUUUUGAUGGGUUUGUAAUUGCUUGUCGUGUACACAAUAGUGUUCUUGAUUUAAUUUGCUCCAUGUCAACUGAAGAGAACUUUACUACUAUACUGAAUGAUACUCGGGAUAGCAUUUCUUGUAAAAGAAAGGUCUGUAGGCUAUCCCUCCAAAAUAGUAUCAAGGAAGAACAUCAAAAUACACAUCUCAAAUCUGCAAGGUCUAUUGCUACAUUUGAUGAUGUUGAUAUUGGUGUCAUGCCUCAUUUCUCAAGGUUUCUUUUUUUGCGUGUAUUGGAUUUGACUGAAUGUGAUGUUAGUGAUCAUAACCAUCUUAACAUUCGGGAGUUGUGGAGUUUACUUCAGCCGAGGUACCUAGGCCUAUACAAAUCAGGAAUUUCUGAGGUCCCAGAAGAAGUUGGAAAGUUGCAGUUUUUGCAGGUGCUGGAUUUGAGAGGGAAUUAUGAUAUCACAGAACUCCCAUCGGCAAUUAUUAAGCUCAGAAGAUUGAUGUGCCUACAAAUUGAUUCUUCCUGCAGUCGGAUACCAGAUGGAAUUGGAAACCUGAUAUCAAUGGAAAAUCUCGGUUCUAUCUGUGGUGACUGUCUAGGCACUGUGAAAGAUUUGGCCAACGUGGAAAGACUAAGGCACCUCAAUAUUUGCUUUAAUGUUAUGAGCUUGGAGUUGGAGCAAGCUCUCGUGGAGUCAUUAGGGAAAUUACACAACAUCCAGAGUGUACAUAUUUGGUUCCUUGGUUAUCAACAUUAUGUAUUCAUGGAUCUCCUGGGGGGAGAUUGGGCGCCCUCCCAAAGUCUUCGCGAAUUUUCUGCACUGUACAGGCUCGUCUUCACCAAACUACCGACAUGGUUAAGGCGGAACCCCUCGCAUCUCUCACAGCUCACUAAGUUAAAUAUCAUUGUCGACGAAGUGCGGCAGGAGGAUCUUGACUUCCUUGGAAGGUUACCGGCCCUCCGUGACCUCUCCUUGGAGACAAUGCGCCAAGAUCCGUUACUCCCACAAGCUUUGCCCAAGACUGAAGAUGUUGAUAUCUUGAUAUAUUUCCGUGCUGCCAACGGCCGUGAUUGGUUUGAGCUCGGCUUGGAGAACCUGCAGUCCCUUCGGAUGGUCACAGUCCAAAUCCGUUUGUCGCCGGGAGUGAUAUGCGGCGCCCGGGCCGAGCAAGGGAAGGCUACUUUGGAAAACGAACUCCAUGCCCAUCCUAAUCGUCCCAAAGUUUUGGCUCUCGUGAUGAUGACAUCAUGCUAUCGGACGACUGAUUCGGGGUGA